RNAcentral lists this ribosomal RNA (207 nucleotides) under uncultured bacterium. RNAcentral's name for it is "partial 16S ribosomal RNA". It matches the Rfam family "Bacterial small subunit ribosomal RNA", at positions 568 to 774 of the family's 1533-position model. The record is from RNAcentral.
CUCGUAGGCGGCUGGUCGCGUCUGUCGUGAAAUCCUCUGGCUUAACUGGGGGCUUGCGGUGGGUACGGGCCGGCUUGAGUGCGGUAGGGGAGGCUGGAACUCCUGGUGUAGCGGUGGAAUGCGCAGAUAUCAGGAAGAACACCGGUGGCGAAGGCGGGUCUCUGGGCCGUUACUGACGCUGAGGAGCGAAAGCGUGGGGAGCGAACA